RNAcentral lists this long non-coding RNA (2854 nucleotides) under Homo sapiens (human). Its description in RNAcentral is "HSALNT0134345". The record is from RNAcentral. Lineage: Eukaryota; Metazoa; Chordata; Mammalia; Primates; Hominidae.
UGGACUGUAAAGUUUUCCCAUGGGUUUUUGCAUAUCCCUUCGACAGGCUGUAUUAUUUACAGAAUUGGGUAGGGGAAGGCUACUCUGUCAGCUGUGGUUGGUUGCCUUAUCUUUGUUCUUGAGAGAAUAGCUUGGACUUUUCCACCACACAUGAAGAUUUUAUUUGAAAGCAGAGAUACUUGCCCCUGCCAGCUACCAUCAGAUAAAAUUAAAUAGAAGGCCAUACUUGUAUCUCUGGGGUGCAUGCUUAGUACUGCAAUCAUUGCUAUGGAGAUAUAAAGUUCAAGAACACAACAUGCGUGCUUUCGAGGAGCGUAUCAUUAUUCAGGAAGUCAAGACACCAGUGAAUGAAAAGAAAACUCACUUUCUGCAAUAGCGCAAAAGAGCAGUGAAGAUGGUGCUCAGAUGAACUGUAAGUGUUCAGAUGAGGGAAACCAUGGAAGACAUCAUGGAGGAGGUGAGACUUGUACAGGAGAUUUCUUCUGUUCCUGGUAGAAUUGUGAGAUGCUGCAUCUGCGUUCCAGCUUUCAAGAAUAUAAUCUAUCAUCUGAAAACUUAAAGUCUUUUUUUAAAAAAAUUAGAUCAAAGCAGAGAGAAAAUGAUCUUCAAGUUUCUUUACCAAACUUGGUAUGUUCUUUUGGACUGAAAACUGAUGGAGUUGGAAGUGACUUUUGUAGUGAAAAUGAGGCUGGAGUAAUUAAUAUUGUUCCAGUGUUCUGGUUAUGCGCAGGAGUGAAUCAUGAUACCCAAAUUACAAUGACUCAUCUCUUCUGAGAGAAUAAAUUGUGAUUCUAUGAAAGUUUUGCUUCACUAGGAAUUUUUUGAAGGGUUCUGUUUGUUCUAGUUUAGAAACCUACACAGGCAAUAUGGGCUUUGCAAAGGUAUAAAAUUUUCUUAAAUAAAACUAAACAAAGAUCUAUUUUGAUUUUCAGCGUUGGAUUUUUUUUUUUUCUUGCCUUUCCUUUGCUUCUGGGAGAAAGUAUCUUCAGACAGGAAGCUUUGAGCUACUCAUAAAUUCUCCCUAACACUGCAGAAACAUAUUUCACUAUGAAAUGGUGGAGAUGACAGUAAGAGCCUCUUGUUUGAGGGGCAAAGCUGAGACAUCCUGAAUGCUAUGGAAGUUUAAUCUUCCAUGCUGACGCAAUCACGGGAAUAUUGUGCUCCUGGGGUUUUCUUUAUUGCCAGCUACUGUCUAAUGCCAGGACAAAAGGAAUAAUUUGAUUACAGCCGAGGAAAGCACAGUUUGUUCCUGUUACUUUUAAGUUUCUUUCUGUUUUUCAUUUGUUUUGAAAUGAGAGAUUGAGAACUCAGAAUGUAUUUGGUACAAAAUGAAAGAUAACUACUGCCUAGAGCUAUAUGGCAAAGACUGCAAUAUUUAGGGUGGCUCGAAUAAAAGGAGCUCUCUGCUUCUUAUCUAGUUAACAAAAUGAUAAAGGGAUCCUGUCUGGCAUAUGCGAUUAAUUCUCCCUUAGGAAAGGGACAUAAAUUAUUCUUAAUUGCCGAGUUAUGGGUCUGUUAUAAUUAAAGUUUGUUACUGGGGGUAAAAUGACACCAAGGGAGCAAAGACUGGACAAUCUGCCCACAUGGGAAUGUGUCUUCACCUGAACUUGGACCCAUUUGUGAAUCAGCAAAACUUUAGCUUUCUUCCUCCAUCCUGUGCUCCUUCUGUUAUGAAACCUCAUUGGCUCCAUUCUUCCCAAAAGCUUAUUUCUGUCUGUGAACUUUCCUACCCAUGUUGAGGUCGUAUUCUGUCAGUGGAGAGGAGGACUGAGUCUCUUCUCUUUUGGAUGCAACUUGAAACCUGAAAAUCUGAAAGGGGAGAACAUUCUCCAAAUCUACAAAUAGCAGAUUGGCUUAAUUUUGAAGCCUUCUUGUCCUCAAAAGAAAAAGGGGUGGGGUCAGGGUAGAAAGAGUUAUACAGUCAUUUUAGGUUUUGCACUUGGGAUCAAUGAAGGAGUUUGUUUGCCUUAGGAUGGGAAAAACUUUUAGAGCCCCCUGGAGUUCAGUGAGCCAGAUAGGUGAUCAAGUCUCAGGAUGAAGCCAAUGCUACAGGUACUGAUGAUAACAUCAAACAGGUCUCAGGGUCUCCAAAGUUUAGUAGGGACCUUGAGACACCAUGGAGACCACUCCUAUACUUUCCCAACAUUUGUAUAUUCUCAGACAGCUAAGAACCCAUCAGCUUUAUGAAGCCUUCCUGAAAGAGAGGUUCUGCAGAAAUCUUAUCUCCCCAACUAGCAUGUUAGUACUUCAUGGAAAGAAACUGUGUAUUGGAUUGAUUUUUAAUUUUUUAGUUUUUAACUUUUGUGGUACAUAAUAGGUAUAUAUAUUUGUGAGAUACAUGAGAUGUUUUGAUACAGGCAUGCAAUAUGUAAUAAUCCCAUAAAGGAAAAUGGGGUAUCCAUGCCCUCAGGCAUUUAUCCUUUGUGUUACAAUCUAAUUUUACUCUUUUAGUUAGUUAAAAAUGUACAAUUAAAUUAUCUUUACUUGGACAUUGUUAUAUCAACAUUGUGUAGUAAAGUUCUGUGCACAGUUUAGAUGUUUAAUGCAUAUUUAAGGCCUAACUGAACAUGUUCCUUGAACCUUUUUCUGGCACCUGCCCUCCUUAACCCACUAAGUUUGAGAAGAAAUUGGGAGAUGAAAGAUGGUCCAACUACCUUCCCGUCCCUCAGUUUAUAUCACGCUAUGGUAAACUCGUGGCAUCAGAAGUAUUUAUCCUCAACCCUCCAGCCUCCCCUUCCUAGUAUCCCCUCUUAACACCAAAUAACCAAUGAAUAGAGGAGUAGGUACAGACUAGAGAGCCUGGGCUCAGCUGCAGCCCAACUUAGCAGUGUUUCAGUUGAAAAGAACUUCUUCU